GCAGCAGGAGGGUGGACUAGGAGGGUUGACAUCCAGCUUCAGCAUCAGACUGAACUACGCGAAGAUAUUUAUUGAGCUGCUACUAUGUGCCAUGGAUGCCAGGAAGAGAGCAAGGAACAAGUAGGCAAAAACCCUGGGCCUCAUGGAACUCGUGUCCUAACGGAGCCGAGGCAGGCAGACAAUAAAUAACGAAUUACACACGGAAAACCUAGGGAGCCAUGUUUGGAGAAGGAAGAACAGGUGAUUCAUAUUAGAGUGUAAGGAGCCUCCUUUCCACCCGCUGUCUACCGCUCCUUAACCCAGGGGGGCCUUUCACCUCCGCACCCCACCCCCACUAGUGCCCACCCCCAGGGGAUUUGGUGAACCCUCCCACCAGGCCCCUUACCUUCUCU
Molecule: long non-coding RNA, 392 nt
Organism: Neogale vison (American mink)
Lineage: Eukaryota; Metazoa; Chordata; Mammalia; Carnivora; Mustelidae
Exons: 3
Source: RefSeq, a predicted model, not a curated record